Molecule: ribosomal RNA, 497 nt
Filed under: uncultured bacterium
Lineage: Bacteria
Description: partial 16S ribosomal RNA
Rfam family: Bacterial small subunit ribosomal RNA
Source: RNAcentral
GAUGAACGCUGGCGGCGUGCCUAAUACAUGCAAGUCGAGCGAACAGACGAGGAGCUUGCUCCUCUGACGUUAGCGGCGGACGGGUGAGUAACACGUGGAGAACCUACCUAUAAGACUGGGAUAACUUCGGGAAACCGGAGCUAAUACCGGAUAACAUGUUGAACCGCAUGGUUCAACAGUGAAAGACGGUCUUGCUGUCACUUAUAGAUGUAUCCGCGCCGCUUUAGCUAGUUGGUAAGGUAACGGCUUACCAAGGCAACGAUGCGUAGCCGACCUGAGAGGGUGAUCGGCCACACUGGAACUGAGACACGGUCCAGACUCCUACGGGAGGCAGCAGUAGGGAAUCUUCCGCAAUGGGCGAAAGCCUGACGGAGCAACGCCGCGUGAGUGAAGAAGGUCUUCGGAUCGUAAAACUCUGUUAUUAGGGAAGAACAAAUGUGUAAGUAACUAUGCACGUCUUGACGGUACCUAAUCAGAAAGCCACGGCUAACUACGUG